CCAGCACGCGACUGACGCUCAUGCACGAAAGCGUGGGUAUCGAACAGGAUUAGAUACCCUGGUAGUCCACGCGGUAAACGAUGAUAACUAGUUAUUCGUCCCGAUUGAGGGGUGAGUGACCGAGCGAAAGCGUUAAGUUAUCCACCUGGGGAGUACGCCGGCAACGGUGAAACUCAAAGGAAUUGACGGGGGCCCGCACAAGCGGAGGAACAUGUGGUUUAAUUCGAUGAUACGCGAGGAACCUUACCCGGGCUCAAACGCAUGGCGCUAGACCCUGAAAGGGGUUGUUCUUCGGACGUCAUGCGAGGUGCUGCAUGGUUGUCGUCAGCUCGUGCCGUGAGGUGUCGGCUUAAGUGCCAUAACGAGCGCAACCCCCAUCUUCAGUUGCCCCCGGGUGAAGCCGGGCACUCUGGAGAGACUGCCGGCGCAAGCUGUGAGGAAGGCGGGGAUGACGUCAAAUCAGCACGGCCCUUACGUCCGGGGCGACACACGUGUUACAAUGGCGGGGCACAGCGGGAAGCCAGGCGGCGACGCCGAGCUGAUCCCGAAAACCCGUCUCAGUUCGGAUCGGAGUCUGCAACCCGACUCCGUGAAGCUGGA
Molecule: ribosomal RNA, 600 nt
Filed under: uncultured bacterium
Lineage: Bacteria
Description: bacterial SSU rRNA
Rfam family: Bacterial small subunit ribosomal RNA
Source: RNAcentral